RNAcentral lists this ribosomal RNA (497 nucleotides) under uncultured bacterium. RNAcentral describes it as "partial 16S ribosomal RNA". It matches the Rfam family "Bacterial small subunit ribosomal RNA", at positions 30 to 507 of the family's 1533-position model. The record is from RNAcentral.
CGAACGCUGGCGGCGUGCUUACCACAUGCACGUCGCCCGGGCCCGCUCUCUUUUUUGGGGGUGGGUUGAGUGGCGAACGGGUGAGUAUCACGUGAGUAACCUGCCCCCUGCUCCUGGAUAACUGCUUGAAAGGGCGGCUAAUACGGGGUGUGCCGGCUGGUCCGCAUGGGCCUGGUCGGGAUAGUUUCAUCUUCGGGUGUUUCGGUGGGGGAUGGGCUCGCGGCCUAUCAGCUUGUUGGUGGGGUGAUGGCCCACCAAGGCGGUGACGGGUAGCCGGCCUGAGAGGGUGGGCGGCCACACUGGGACUGAGACACGGCCCAGACUCCUGCGGGAGGCAGCAGUGGGGGGUAUUGCACAAUGGGCGGAAGCCUGAUGCAGCGACGUCGCGUGAGGGAUGGAGGCCUUCGGGUUGUGAACCUCUUUCUCCGGUGGUGAAGGCCCUGUCCGUUGCGGCGGGGUUGACGGUAGCCGGGUAUGAAGCGCCGGCUAACUACGUG